This 107-nucleotide ribosomal RNA is filed under the name Lecidea cancriformis. Its description in RNAcentral is "partial 28S ribosomal RNA". It matches the Rfam family "Eukaryotic large subunit ribosomal RNA", at positions 9 to 115 of the family's 3401-position model. Lineage: Eukaryota; Fungi; Ascomycota; Lecanoromycetes; Lecideales; Lecideaceae. The record is from RNAcentral.
GAUCAGGUAGGGAUACCCGCUGAACUUAAGCAUAUCAAUAAGCGGAGGAAAAGAAACCAACAGGGAUUGCCUCAGUAACGGCGAGUGAAGCGGCAACAGCUCAAAUA